GGAGAACACACACACAGCUCUGAUGCCUUGUCACAGAGUUCCAGGUGCAGGGUAAUUGCCCAAUGGAAGGUGGAAUUUCCUGGGAAAUUUCCAUGCUGUCCUUGUGUUGUGACUUCUGAGAGGUCCUCCAGCACAUUCUCUGGAGGACCCCUAGGUACCUCUGGAUAACGGAAGAUCUAGGCCAUUAUUUGUUACGACCCAGAAUAAGUUUCAACCGUCUGACAAAACUAGUUGAAGAAGCUCUGUGAAAAGAAAAGACAAGAUGAAAUUGUACAAAUGGUUUCGUGGAGCCAGGACCCUCAAAAUCAUCCCUCAUGCUUUUUUUCAAAACAGCAUUUGAAUAAAUAUGAAAUAUUUAAUAGCUGCUAUAAUGGUCAUAAAUGAAUUUGCACAACUAUUAUUAUC
Carcharodon carcharias (great white shark) is the source of this 405-nucleotide long non-coding RNA. RefSeq lists it as uncharacterized. NCBI's taxonomy places the organism in Eukaryota, Metazoa, Chordata, Chondrichthyes, Lamniformes, Lamnidae. The transcript has 3 exons. The record is from RefSeq and is a predicted model, not a curated record.